GAGUUUGAUCCUGGCUCAGAUUGAACGCUGGCGGCAGGCCUAACACAUGCAAGUCGAGCGGUAGAGAGAAGCUUGCUUCUCUUGAGAGCGGCGGACGGGUGAGUAAUGCCUAGGAAUCUGCCUGGUAGUGGGGGAUAACGCUCGGAAACGGACGCUAAUACCGCAUACGUCCUACGGGAGAAAGCAGGGGACCUUCGGGCCUUGCGCUAUCAGAUGAGCCUAGGUCGGAUUAGCUAGUUGGUGAGGUAAUGGCUCACCAAGGCGACGAUCCGUAACUGGUCUGAGAGGAUGAUCAGUCACACUGGAACUGAGACACGGUCCAGACUCCUACGGGAGGCAGCAGUGGGGGAAUAUUGGACAAUGGGCGAAAGCCUGAUCCAGCCAUGCCGCGUGUGUGAAGAAGGUCUUCGGAUUGUAAAGCACUUUAAGUUGGGAGGAAGGGCAGUAAAUUAAUACUUUGCUGUUUUGACGUUACCGACAGAAUAAGCACCGGCUAACUCUGUGCCAGCCGCCG
RNAcentral lists this ribosomal RNA (514 nucleotides) under uncultured bacterium. RNAcentral describes it as "bacterial SSU rRNA". It matches the Rfam family "Bacterial small subunit ribosomal RNA", at positions 9 to 517 of the family's 1533-position model. The record is from RNAcentral.